UGGAGAGUUUGAUCCUGGCUCAGGACGAACGCUGGCGGCGUGCCUAAUACAUGCAAGUCGAACGCCUCUUUUUCCACCGGAGCUUGCUCCACCGGAAAAAGAGGAGUGGCGAACGGGUGAGUAACACGUGGGUAACCUGCCCAUCAGAAGGGGAUAACACUUGGAAACAGGUGCUAAUACCGUAUAACAAUCGAAACCGCAUGGUUUYGAUUUGAAAGGCGCUUUCGGGUGUCGCUGAUGGAUGGACCCGCGGUGCAUUAGCUAGUUGGUGAGGUAACGGCUCACCAAGGCGACGAUGCAUAGCCGACCUGAGAGGGUGAUCGGCCACAUUGGGACUGAGACACGGCCCAAACUCCUACGGGAGGCAGCAGUAGGGAAUCUUCGGCAAUGGACGAAAGUCUGACCGAGCAACGCCGCGUGAGUGAAGAAGGUUUUCGGAUCGUAAAACUCUGUUGUUAGAGAAGAACAAGGAUGAGAGUAACUGUUCAUCCCUUGACGGUAUCUAACCAGAAAGCCACGGCUAACUACGUGCCAGCAGCCGCGGUA
Molecule: ribosomal RNA, 546 nt
Filed under: Enterococcus hirae
Lineage: Bacteria; Bacillati; Bacillota; Bacilli; Lactobacillales; Enterococcaceae
Description: bacterial SSU rRNA
Rfam family: Bacterial small subunit ribosomal RNA
Source: RNAcentral